Molecule: long non-coding RNA, 215 nt
Filed under: Elaeis guineensis (African oil palm)
Lineage: Eukaryota; Viridiplantae; Streptophyta; Magnoliopsida; Arecales; Arecaceae
Description: long non-coding RNA (EGUI_LNC001054)
Source: RNAcentral
AUCUUAAGUAAGAUUUUAUUAAUUUUAAUUUUGAAAAACUUCUUUCUGCCGAAGCAACACUUACUGAAAUUGUUAACAUUAUUCUAAAAGCAAUAUAUGCAUUUGGAAAAGAGUCGAGUCGUCUUAUAUGAUUGAGUAUAUCCAUUGAACUGUUAUCUUCCACUUGUAUAAUUUCUUUUAAAAUUUUUAGCUCUGAAAAUAAAUCUAAACCAUCA